GAUGAACGCUGGCGGCGUGCUUAACACAUGCAAGUCGAGCGAAAAGGCCCGGCGCUUGUUGCGUGCUCGAGUGGCGCAGACGUGAGUGAAACGUGAGUAAACUGCACUUAAAUUUGGGGUAACAUCUGGAAAAAGCGGCGCAUAUACGGGAGAAUCUCCUGCUGCAUGUUGGGCGUUAGUAAGAUUCGGCGGUUGGGGAUCGAAUGGAGGGUUAUCCGCUUGUUGGUGGAGUAGGGGCUGACAAAGGGUUUGACGGGUAGCCGGCCUGAGAGGGUGACCGGCCACAUGGGGACUGAGAUACGGCCCAGACUCCUACGGGAGGCAGCAGUGGGGAAUAUGGCACAAUGGGCGGAAGCCUGAUGCAGCAACGCCGCGUGCGGGAUGACGGCCUUCGGGUUGUAAACCGCUUUCGCCUGUGGCGAAGCGGGAGUGACGGUAAUGGGUAAAGAAGCACCGGCUAACUACGUG
RNAcentral lists this ribosomal RNA (468 nucleotides) under uncultured bacterium. Its description in RNAcentral is "partial 16S ribosomal RNA". It matches the Rfam family "Bacterial small subunit ribosomal RNA", at positions 28 to 507 of the family's 1533-position model. The record is from RNAcentral.